RNAcentral lists this ribosomal RNA (253 nucleotides) under uncultured bacterium. Its description in RNAcentral is "partial 16S ribosomal RNA". It matches the Rfam family "Bacterial small subunit ribosomal RNA", at positions 524 to 776 of the family's 1533-position model. The record is from RNAcentral.
UACGUAGGGUGCGAGCGUUAAUCGGAAUUACUGGGCGUAAAGCGUGCGCAGGCGGCUUCGCAAGUCAGGCGUGAAAUCCCCGGGCUUAACCUGGGAAUGGCGUCUGAAACUACGGAGCUGGAGUGUGGCAGAGGGAGGUAGAAUUCCACGUGUAGCGGUGAAAUGCGUAGAUAUGUGGAGGAAUACCGAUGGCGAAGGCAGGUCUCUGGGCCAUAACUGACGCUGAGAAGCGAAAGCAUGGGGAGCGAACAGG